CCUACGGGUGGCAGCAGUGGGGAAUAUUGCACAAUGGGGGAAACCCUGAUGCAGCGACGCCGCGUGAAGGAAGAAGUAUUUCGGUAUGUAAACUUCUAUCAGCAGGGAAGAAAAUGACGGUACCUGACUAAGAAGCCCCGGCUAACUACGUGCCAGCAGCCGCGGUAAUACGUAGGGGGCAAGCGUUAUCCGGAUUUACUGGGUGUAAAGGGAGCGUAGGCGGCGAUGCAAGUCAGAAGUGAAAGCCCGGGGCUCAACUUUGGAACUGCUUUUGAAACUGAGUAGCUAGAGUGCAGGAGAGGUAAGCGGAAUUCCUAGUGUAGCGGUGAAAUGCGUAGAUAUUAGGAGGAACACCAGUGGCGAAGGCGGCUUACUGGACUGUAACUGACGUUGAGGCUCGAAAGCGUGGGGAGCAAACAGGAUUAGAUACCCUUGUAGUC
This 440-nucleotide ribosomal RNA is filed under the name uncultured bacterium. Its description in RNAcentral is "partial 16S ribosomal RNA". It matches the Rfam family "Bacterial small subunit ribosomal RNA", at positions 338 to 795 of the family's 1533-position model. The record is from RNAcentral.